GACGAACGCUGGCGGCGUGCUUAAUACAUGCAAGUCGAGCGAGGUUACUGUUUCGGAUCCCUUCGGGGUGAAGAAGCUUUAACCUAGCGGCGGACGGGUGAGUAACGCGUGGGUAACCUACCCCAAAGUCCGGGAUAACAGCGGGAAACCGCUGCUAAUACCGGAUGCCUUUACCUUGGGGCAUCUUGAGGUAAAGAAAGGUAACGCUUUGGGAUGGGCCCGCGGUCCCAUUAGCUAGUUGGUGAGGUAACGGCUCACCAAGGCGACGAUGGGUAGCCGGCCUGAGAGGGUGGACGGCCACACUGGGACUGAGACACGGCCCAGACUCCUACGGGAGGCAGCAGUAGGGAAUAUUGCGCAAUGGACGGAAGUCUGACGCAGCGACGCCGCGUGAGCGAUGAAGGUCUUCGGAUCGUAAAGCUCUGUCCUUGGGGAAGAAGGUCUUCGGGACUUGACGGUACCCAAGAAGAAAGCCCCGGCUAACUACGUG
RNAcentral lists this ribosomal RNA (490 nucleotides) under uncultured bacterium. RNAcentral's name for it is "bacterial SSU rRNA". It matches the Rfam family "Bacterial small subunit ribosomal RNA", at positions 28 to 507 of the family's 1533-position model. The record is from RNAcentral.